GACGAACGCUGGCGGCGUGCCUAAUACAUGCAAGUAGGACGCAGUUGCGAACGGGUGAGUAACGCAUAGGUGACUGCCUCCUAGAGGGGGAUAACUAUUGGAAACGAUAGCUAAUACCGCAUACUAGUAGAUGGACCUGCGUUGUAUUAACUAGUAGGUAGGGUAAUGGCCUACCUAGGCGACGAUACAGAGCCGGCCGUGAGGGGGGAUCGGCCAAACUGGGAACGGGGCACGGGCCCGACUCCUACGGGAGGGAGCAGUAGGGAAUCUUCGGGAAUGGGGGGAACGCUGAACGGGGAAAGACGGGGGAGUGAAGAAGGGUUUCGGGUCGUAAAGAUCUGGUGGUAAGGAAGCGGUACUUAACCAGAAAGGGACGGCUAACUACGUGCCAGCCGCCGCGGUAAUAC
RNAcentral lists this ribosomal RNA (407 nucleotides) under uncultured bacterium. RNAcentral describes it as "partial 16S ribosomal RNA". It matches the Rfam family "Bacterial small subunit ribosomal RNA", at positions 28 to 526 of the family's 1533-position model. The record is from RNAcentral.